This is a long non-coding RNA of Hemiscyllium ocellatum (epaulette shark), 461 nucleotides long. RefSeq lists it as uncharacterized. The transcript has 3 exons. The record is from RefSeq and is a predicted model, not a curated record. NCBI's taxonomy places the organism in Eukaryota, Metazoa, Chordata, Chondrichthyes, Orectolobiformes, Hemiscylliidae.
CCUUCUUAUGGAAGGGAGAACACCUAGACAAACGAGAAUUAGAACAUGACUGUUUUUUUGAGAGCGAGCAGCAGCAGAGAAGGAGCGGGAGCAGCGUGGGAAGUGACGAGGCUCAGAGGGGCAGCCGGGAAGGAAAGCAGUGACCACAUAUAUCAGCAAGGCGGCUAAACCUGAGACUCUACAACUGUAGUGUCUCCCACCCGCCCUCCUCCUCUAACCUAGUUAAUAAGGAAGAAGGGUCUGUUGACCCAGACACCUCCACUUGAGUUUGACAACCGGGUGAUUGGGUCCUGAUCAAGACCUGGAAAGAUACCAAACUACACCCGAGCUGGGAGGGACCAUUCCUAACCCUCCUGACUACUGAGACAGCCGUCCGAACUGCUGAGAAAUGGUGGAGUCAUCACAUUCACGUCAAAGGUCCUGUGAACACCCCACUGGCGGAGUGGCACACUCAUCCUACA